ACAUGACUUUCCUGGCAUGUUUGCAUGAUAAGAAGCCUACGUGCACAAGAGGAAUUAUUGGCAUGCAUAGCAUGUGUGCAGCACUGUCCUCCUGAGUGCGACUACGCGGGCUUAUUUAUUCCUUGCACGACACGCUGAGUUGUGUGACUACUUCGCACACCCACAAGCCAAAAACACUAUGCAGGCUUGGCUCUCAACUUUGUCCAUUUGGGUGAAGCUCGAGAGGUUUACCCCAAGGGGGCCUCAGCCUAAGAGGGAAACCCAACGGCCUAACCAAUUUUAGUGGACCCCCACUAGGUCUGGCCUAGUUCAGUGGACCCCCACAAGGUUUGGUUUAGUUUAGUGGACCCUCAAUGGGUCCGUCCUAGUUCAAUGGACCACCAUCGGGUUCACUUCAGUUUAGUGGACCCUUACUAGGUCUGGUUCAAUCCAAUGAACCCUUAGUGGUCCAGGUCAAUUAAUUGGGUCUACAU
RNAcentral lists this long non-coding RNA (473 nucleotides) under Carica papaya (papaya). Its description in RNAcentral is "long non-coding RNA (CPAP_LNC000876)". The record is from RNAcentral. Lineage: Eukaryota; Viridiplantae; Streptophyta; Magnoliopsida; Brassicales; Caricaceae.